AAUGAACGUUGGCGGCGUGGAUUAGGCAUGCAAGUCGCGCGAGAAGUUUCCUUCGGGAGACGGACAGCGGCGGAAGGGAGAGGAAUAAGUAGAAAUCUGCCCUCGGGACGGGGAUAGCGGCGGGAAACUGCCGGUAAUACCCGAUAACAUCUUUGGAUCAAAUGGUGUGAUUCCGCCUGAGGAUGAGUCUACUUCCUAUUAGCUAGUUGGUGUGGUAAUGGCUCACCAAAGGCAACGAUGGGUAGCGGGUGUGAGAGCACGAUCCGCCUCACUGGGACUGAGACACUGCCCAGACACCUACGGGAGGCAGCAGUUGGGAAUCUUCGGCAAUGGGCGCAAGCCUGACCGAGCAAACGCCGCGUGAGUGAUGAAGGUUUUCGGAUUGUAAAGCUCUGUCUUCCGGGACGAUAAUGACGGUACCGGAGGAGGAAGCCACGGCUAACUACGUG
Molecule: ribosomal RNA, 449 nt
Filed under: uncultured bacterium
Lineage: Bacteria
Description: bacterial SSU rRNA
Rfam family: Bacterial small subunit ribosomal RNA
Source: RNAcentral